This 119-nucleotide ribosomal RNA is filed under the name Nitella flexilis. The record is from RNAcentral. Lineage: Eukaryota; Viridiplantae; Streptophyta; Charophyceae; Charales; Characeae. RNAcentral also lists the same sequence under 1 other name.
UGGUACGGUCAUACCACGGCUAAUGCGCCCGAUCCCAUCCGAACUCGGAAGCCAAGCGCCGUUGGGCCGGAAUAGUACUGGGAUGGGUGACCUCCUGGGAAGUCCCGGUGCUGUACCUA